Molecule: long non-coding RNA, 620 nt
Filed under: Salvia miltiorrhiza (redroot sage)
Lineage: Eukaryota; Viridiplantae; Streptophyta; Magnoliopsida; Lamiales; Lamiaceae
Description: long non-coding RNA (SMIL_LNC003788)
Source: RNAcentral
AGGGAUGAUGAUAUGUGUGUCACUACUCACAGAAACACAUGCUCCACGGUGGUGAUAUGAACAGGGCGCGAGUUCCCGCAUCUUCCAAGCUCAACACUGCACUAAAAACCCAAAAAAAAACAAAGAAAAAAAAGAAACAAAAAGAACUAAAAGAAAGAAAAACAAAACAAAGAAAAAUAGUUGGGUUACCUCCCAACAAGUGCUUAAUUUAACGUCUAGAGCUCGACGAUACCUCAUGGUCUCAAUGAACAUCAAACGCAGCAGGCGUGACAGACCGCCUAACACGAACAGAGACAGAGGACUCAUGCGCAUCAGCUGCGUGAAAGACAACGCUUCCAUUCGGCACAUCUAUCAUAGCCCUCCCCGUAGCUAAGAAUGAUCGACCAAGAAUCAACAGCGGAUUUGCAUCUUCAGGAAUAUCGAGGACCAAGAAAUCCGUAGGGAAUACCAGCUUGUCAACCUUCACAAAGAUGUCUUCAAGCUUUCCUCUCGGCUUCACUCUUGAUCUAUCCGCCAUUUGAAUCUCCAUCGAGGUCGGCUUGAGAUCUCCAAUUCCCAACCGCUUGAAAACAGAGAUGGGCAUCACAUUGACACUAGCCCCUAAAUCACAAAGAGCCUCG